Molecule: long non-coding RNA, 150 nt
Organism: Lemur catta (Ring-tailed lemur)
Lineage: Eukaryota; Metazoa; Chordata; Mammalia; Primates; Lemuridae
Exons: 3
Source: RefSeq, a predicted model, not a curated record
GAAUAAAACUGAAAGUAGGAAGAACAGAGAGAUUGAGUAACUCGCUGAAGGUCGCACAGGCAGGAGAUUGUGGAUGGGGCUGUUAACCGGGUCUCUCAACUGCCAGCGUCCAAGCUCUUACAGCAGGUUUUCUCUGGAAGCUCUGAGCCC